Lepisosteus oculatus (spotted gar) is the source of this 119-nucleotide ribosomal RNA. NCBI's taxonomy places the organism in Eukaryota, Metazoa, Chordata, Actinopteri, Semionotiformes, Lepisosteidae. The record is from Ensembl.
GCCAGCAGCCAUAUCACCCUGCAACUCACAACUGGCAGCCCACUGACGCUAAGCAGGUGUGAGCCUGGUCAGUACCUGGAUGGGAGACCUCCUGGGAAAAACUAGGGUUGCUGCUGGUA